RNAcentral lists this ribosomal RNA (469 nucleotides) under Laonice sp. A GT-2019. RNAcentral's name for it is "partial 16S ribosomal RNA". It matches the Rfam family "Bacterial large subunit ribosomal RNA", at positions 1864 to 2597 of the family's 2925-position model. Lineage: Eukaryota; Metazoa; Annelida; Polychaeta; Spionida; Spionidae. The record is from RNAcentral.
CAGUGACGUGAGUUAAACGGCCGCGGUACCCUGACCGUGCUAAGGUAGCAUAAUCAUUUGCCUCUUAAUUGGUGGCUAGUAUGAAUGGACACACGAGAGCCUCGCUGUCUCACUAAUAUAAAUAAAAAUUAAUCUUCAGGUGAAGAAACCUGAAUUCCAUAAAAAGACAAAAAGACCCUAUGGAGCUUUAUUUUACCCUACCACCGAGCCAUAUUCAUAAAAUAUACCUUGGUACUACAAAAUUCAGUUGGGGCGACUAAGGAAAACUAUAAAUCUUCCUCCACAUAUAAGAAAAUGAUUCUCCCCAAAAUCCGCAACUGCGAAUAAAGAAUCAGCUACCCUAGGGAUAACAGGCUAAUCCUUCUCGAGAGCCCAAAUUGACAGAAGGGAUUGGCACCUCGAUGUUGGCUUAGGGUACCGACAAGAUGCAGAAGUCUUGUAAGUAGGUUUGUUCAACCUUUAAAACCCU